CCUACUGGUGGCAGCAGUGGGGGAUAUUGCACAAUGGGGGGAACCCUGAUGCAGCGACGCCGCGAGGGUGAAGGAGCGUUUCGGCGCGUAAAGCCCUAUCGGCAGGGAAGAAGCAGGACGGUACCUGACUAAGACGCCCCGGCUAACUACGUGCCAGCAGCCGCGGUAAUACGUAGGGGGCAAGCGUUAUCCGGAUGUACUGGGUGUAAGGGCGGCGCAGACGGCAGCGCAAGCGAGGAGUGAAAGCCCGGGGCCCAACCCCGGGAGUGCUUUUGGAAAUGCGCGGCUGGAGUGCAGGAGGGGCAGGCGGAAUUCGUGGUGUAGCGGUGAAAGGCGUAGAUAUCAGGAGGAACACCGGUGGCGAAGGCGGCCUGCUGGACUGCGACUGACGUUGAGGCCCGAAAGCGUGGGGAGCAAACAGGAUUAGAUACCCGAGUAGUC
RNAcentral lists this ribosomal RNA (441 nucleotides) under uncultured bacterium. Its description in RNAcentral is "partial 16S ribosomal RNA". It matches the Rfam family "Bacterial small subunit ribosomal RNA", at positions 338 to 795 of the family's 1533-position model. The record is from RNAcentral.